CAAAACGUUCCUUCUUCAUUAAACCCUAAUCUCCUUCUUCUUUUACGGUCGUUCACAGUCGACAAUCCAUACUCACAUCCAAAUCUAUUUCUCGAAGUCCUCACUCCUCAGCUACUAUCUUCUGCAACUAUGGCGGCCAACUACGAUUACGAGGAGGCUCCAGGCUCCUACGACGAUGUGAACCGCCAAGACCUUGGCUACGACCCGAACUUUGUCCCUGACUCCGUUAAGUCGUUCGUCGUCCACCUUUACCGUCACAUUCGUGAGAAAAAUGUGUACGAGAUUCACCAGAUGUACGAGAACUCGUUCCAAACGCUCUCCGACCGUCUCUUUAAAGAUACUCCGUGGCCCUCCGUCGAUGCGGUUUCUCAUUAUGUAGAUAACGACCAAGUAUUUUGCCUCCUUUACCGUGAGAUGUAGUUUCGCCACCUCUAUGCUCGCCUAUCCCCCACUCUUAAGCAGAGGAUUGAUUCUUGGGAUAAUUAUUGUAGCCUCUUUCAGGUGGUGUUGCAUAGGGUAGUUAACAUGCAGUUACCAAAUCAAAGGCCAUGGGACAUGGUGGAUGAAUUUGUAUACCAAUUCCAAAGUUUCUGUCAAUACAGGGUGAAAAUGAAGAACAAAACUGGGCAAGAAAUUGCUCUUCUCCACCAAUUUGACCAGGCAUGGAAUGUGUAUGGGGUGCUCAAUUACUUGCAAGCGUUUGUGGAGAAGUCAAAUAUUAUUCAGAUAUUGGAU
Long non-coding RNA from Hibiscus syriacus, 735 nucleotides. RefSeq lists it as uncharacterized. NCBI's taxonomy places the organism in Eukaryota, Viridiplantae, Streptophyta, Magnoliopsida, Malvales, Malvaceae. The record is from RefSeq and is a predicted model, not a curated record. The transcript is spliced from 3 exons.